Molecule: small nucleolar RNA, 134 nt
Organism: Protopterus annectens (West African lungfish)
Lineage: Eukaryota; Metazoa; Chordata; Ceratodontiformes; Protopteridae
Product: small nucleolar RNA SNORA77
Exons: 1
Source: RefSeq, a predicted model, not a curated record
GCAGACUCACUCUGUGCCUGCCUGCUCCUCUUCAGUCUUGCACUUUUUAAGUCUGCUAGAUUACUUUUUCAGAAUGUCGCAAACACCUUUUUUUCUGUGUAAAAAGUUGUUACUAUCGUUUCUGGAACAUUUUA